Molecule: small nuclear RNA, 312 nt
Filed under: Octodon degus (degu)
Lineage: Eukaryota; Metazoa; Chordata; Mammalia; Rodentia; Octodontidae
Description: 7SK RNA (ENSODEG00000023050.1)
Rfam family: 7SK RNA
About the family: 7SK was discovered as an abundant small nuclear RNA in the mid-70s but a possible function has only recently been suggested. Two independent studies have found that 7SK RNA binds the CDK9/cyclin T complex (known as elongation factor P-TEFb). P-TEFb activates transcription by phosphorylating the C-terminal domain of RNA polymerase II.
Source: RNAcentral
AGAUGUAAGGGAGAUCAGGCUGCAACAUCUGUCACCCCACUGCUUGCCAGGCUUGGUUUGACUGAUCUGGCUGGCUAGGCAGGUGACCCCUUCGUGUCUCAAUCUUCAUGUGCAUUACUUCCCAAGCUACAUGCUUGGUCAAGAGGAUGGCCACUCCUGCUAUAGGGUCAAAUGUAUAGGAGUAGCUGUCCUCCCUUGCUAUAGCCUGCUAACAAGUUCUCAAGAAAGUUUUCAAGAAAAACACAUUGGAACUUUAUAUUCUGGAUUACUAAAUCAAGCAUUUGACAAUAAACUCUUGGUUAUUCUUCAAGU